Molecule: ribosomal RNA, 119 nt
Filed under: Canis lupus familiaris (dog)
Lineage: Eukaryota; Metazoa; Chordata; Mammalia; Carnivora; Canidae
Also listed under: 1 other name
Source: RNAcentral
GUCUAUGGCCAUACCACCUUGAAUGUGCCCAAUCUUGUCUGACCUUGGAACCUAAGCAGGAUCUGGCCUGGUUAGUACUAGGAUGGGAAACUGCCUGGGAAGACCAGGUGCUGUAGGCU